This 253-nucleotide ribosomal RNA is filed under the name uncultured bacterium. RNAcentral's name for it is "partial 16S ribosomal RNA". It matches the Rfam family "Bacterial small subunit ribosomal RNA", at positions 524 to 776 of the family's 1533-position model. The record is from RNAcentral.
UACGGAGGGUGCGAACGUUAAUCGGAAUCACUGGGCGUAAAGCGCGCGUAGGCGGUCCGUUAAGUGGGAUGUGAAAUCCCCGGGCUUAACCUGGGAAUUGCAUUUCAAACUGGCGGACUAGAGUGCGGUAGAGGGAGGUAGAAUUUCCUGUGUAGCGGUGAAAUGCGUAGAUAUAGGAAGGAAUACCAGUGGCGAAGGUGGCCUCCUGGAUCGACACUGACGCUGAGGCGCGAAAGCGUGGGGAGCAAACAGG